Molecule: ribosomal RNA, 429 nt
Filed under: Gemmatimonadota bacterium
Lineage: Bacteria; Pseudomonadati; Gemmatimonadota
Description: Gemmatimonadetes bacterium partial 16S ribosomal RNA
Rfam family: Bacterial small subunit ribosomal RNA
Source: RNAcentral
UAGGGAAUCUUCGGCAAUGGACGAAAGUCUGACCGAGCAACGCCGCGUGAGUGAAGAAGGUUUUCGGAUCGUAAAACUCUGUUGUUAGAGAAGAACAAGGACGUUAGUAACUGAACGUCCCCUGACGGUAUCUAACCAGAAAGCCACGGCUAACUACGUUCCAGCAGCCGCGGUAAUACGUAGGUGGCAAGCGUUGUCCGGAUUUAUUGGGCGUAAAGCGGGCGCAGGCGGUUUCUUAAGUCUGAGGUGAAAGCCCCCGGCUCAACCGGGGAGGGUCAUUGGAAACUGGGAGACUUGAGUGCAGAAGAGGAGAGUGGAAUUCCAUGUGUAGCGGUGAAAUGCGUAGAUAUAUGGAGGAACACCAGUGGCGAAGGCGGCUCUCUGGUCUGUAACUGACGAUAAGGCUCAAAAGCGUGGGGAGCAAACAGG